AGCUUGCUUCUCUUGAGAGCGGCGGACGGGUGAGUAAUACCUAGGAAUCUGCCUGAUAGUGGGGGAUAACGUUCGGAAACGGACGCUAAUACCGCAUACGUCCUACGGGAGAAAGCAGGGGACCUUCGGGCCUUGCGCUAUCAGAUGAGCCUAGGUCGGAUUAGCUAGUUGGUGAGGUAAUGGCUCACCAAGGCUACGAUCCGUAACUGGUCUGAGAGGAUGAUCAGUCACACUGGAACUGAGACACGGUCCAGACUCCUACGGGAGGCAGCAGUGGGGAAUAUUGGACAAUGGGCGAAAGCCUGAUCCAGCCAUGCCGCGUGUGUGAAGAAGGUCUUCGGAUUGUAAAGCACUUUAAGUUGGGAGGAAGGGCAUUAACCUAAUACGUUGGUGUCUUGACGUUACCGACAGAAUAAGCACCGGCUAACUCUGUGCCAGCAGCCGCGGUAAUACAGAGGGUGCAAGCGUUAAUCGGAAUUACUGGGCGUAAAGCGCGCGUAGGUGGUUUGUUAAGUUGAAUGUGAAAUCCCCGGGCUCAACCUGGGAACUGCAUCCAAAACUGGCAAGCUAGAGUAUGGUAGAGGGUAGUGGAAUUUCCUGUGUAGCG
Molecule: ribosomal RNA, 607 nt
Filed under: uncultured bacterium
Lineage: Bacteria
Description: bacterial SSU rRNA
Rfam family: Bacterial small subunit ribosomal RNA
Source: RNAcentral